This 516-nucleotide ribosomal RNA is filed under the name Pediococcus acidilactici. RNAcentral's name for it is "bacterial SSU rRNA". It matches the Rfam family "Bacterial small subunit ribosomal RNA", at positions 32 to 503 of the family's 1533-position model. The record is from RNAcentral. Lineage: Bacteria; Bacillati; Bacillota; Bacilli; Lactobacillales; Lactobacillaceae.
AACGCUGGCGGCGUGCCUAAUACAUGCAAGUCGAACGAACUUCCGUUAAUUGAUUAUGACGUGCUUGCACUGAAUGAGAUUUUAACACGAAGUGAGUGGCGGACGGGUGAGUAACACGUGGGCAACCUGCCCAGAAGCAGGGGAUAACACCUGGAAACAGAUGCUAAUACCGUAUAACAGAGAAAACCGCCUGGUUUUCUUUUAAAAGAUGGCUCUGCUAUCACUUCUGGAUGGACCCGCGGCGCAUUAGCUAGUUGGUGAGGUAACGGCUCACCAAGGCGAUGAUGCGUAGCCGACCUGAGAGGGUAAUCGGCCACAUUGGGACUGAGACACGGCCCAGACUCCUACGGGAGGCAGCAGUAGGGAAUCUUCCACAAUGGACGCAAGUCUGAUGGAGCAACGCCGCGUGAGUGAAGAAGGGUUUCGGCUCGUAAAGCUCUGUUGUUAAAGAAGAACGUGGGUGAGAGUAACUGUUCACCCAGUGACGGUAUUUAACCAGAAAGCCACGGCUAACUA